RNAcentral lists this ribosomal RNA (400 nucleotides) under uncultured bacterium. Its description in RNAcentral is "bacterial SSU rRNA". It matches the Rfam family "Bacterial small subunit ribosomal RNA", at positions 355 to 752 of the family's 1533-position model. The record is from RNAcentral.
UAAGGAAUAUUGGUCAAUGGACGCAAGUCUGAACCAGCCAUGCCGCGUGAAGGAUUAAGGCCCUCUGGGUUGUAAACUUCUUUUAUAGGGGAAGAAAUGUGACGGUUCUCCGUCACUUGGCGGUACCCUGGGAAUAAGCACCGGCUAACUUCGUGCCCGCAGCCGCGGUAAUACGAAGGGUGCAAGCGUUACUCGGAAUUACUGGGCGUAAAGCGUGCGUAGGUGGUUGUUUAAGUCUGAUGUGAAAGCCCUGGGCUCAACCUGGGAAUGGCAUUGGAAACUGUGGAGCUAGUGUGCGGUAUAGGGUAGUGGAAUUCCCGGUGUAGCAGGGAAAUGCGUAGAGAUCGGGAGGAACAUCUGUGGCGAAGGCGACUGCCUGGACCCGCACUGACACUGAGGC